UCAGCGGCGGACGGGUGAGUAAUGCCUAGGAAUCUGCCUGGUAGUGGGGGACAACGUUUCGAAAGGAACGCUAAUACCGCAUACGUCCUACGGGAGAAAGCAGGGGACCUUCGGGCCUUGCGCUAUCAGAUGAGCCUAGGUCGGAUUAGCUAGUUGGUGAGGUAAUGGCUCACCAAGGCGACGAUCCGUAACUGGUCUGAGAGGAUGAUCAGUCACACUGGAACUGAGACACGGUCCAGACUCCUACGGGAGGCAGCAGUGGGGAAUAUUGGACAAUGGGCGAAAGCCUGAUCCAGCCAUGCCGCGUGUGUGAAGAAGAUCUUCGGAUUGUAAAGCACUUUAAGUUGGGAGGAAGGGCAGUAAGCGAAUACCUUGCUGUUUUGACGUUACCGACAGA
This 397-nucleotide ribosomal RNA is filed under the name Pseudomonas sp. RNAcentral describes it as "bacterial SSU rRNA". It matches the Rfam family "Bacterial small subunit ribosomal RNA", at positions 92 to 485 of the family's 1533-position model. Lineage: Bacteria; Pseudomonadati; Pseudomonadota; Gammaproteobacteria; Pseudomonadales; Pseudomonadaceae. The record is from RNAcentral.